This 253-nucleotide ribosomal RNA is filed under the name uncultured archaeon. RNAcentral's name for it is "partial 16S ribosomal RNA". It matches the Rfam family "Archaeal small subunit ribosomal RNA", at positions 729 to 982 of the family's 1478-position model. The record is from RNAcentral.
UUAGAUACCCGCGUAGUCCUGGCCGUAACGAUACUCGCUAGGUGUCGGCCACGGUGCGACCGUUGUCGGUGCCGUAGGGAAGCCGUGAAGCGAGCCACCUGGGAAGUACGGCCGCAAGGCUGAAACUUAAAGGAAUUGGCGGGGGAGCACCACAAGAGGUGGAGGCUGCGGUUCAAUUGGACUCAACGCCGGAUAACUCAUCGGGAGCGACAGCAGUAUGAUUGCCAGGUUGAUGACCUUGCUUGACGAGCUG